This 252-nucleotide ribosomal RNA is filed under the name uncultured bacterium. Its description in RNAcentral is "partial 16S ribosomal RNA". It matches the Rfam family "Bacterial small subunit ribosomal RNA", at positions 524 to 776 of the family's 1533-position model. The record is from RNAcentral.
UACGGAGGGGGCUAGCGUUGUUCGGAAUUACUGGGCGUAAAGCGCACGUAGGCGGCUUUGUAAGUUAGAGGUGAAAGCCCAGGGCUUAACCCUGGAAUUGCCUUUAAGACUGCAUCGCUAGAAUCGUGGAGAGGUGAGUGGAAUCCGAGUGUAGAGGUGAAAUUCGUAGAUAUUGGGAAGAACACCGGUGGCGAAGGCGGCUCACUGGCUCAUUUCUGACGCUCAGGCGCGACGGCGUGGGGAUCAAACAGG